This 237-nucleotide ribosomal RNA is filed under the name uncultured Staphylococcus sp. RNAcentral's name for it is "partial 16S ribosomal RNA". It matches the Rfam family "Bacterial small subunit ribosomal RNA", at positions 103 to 334 of the family's 1533-position model. The record is from RNAcentral. Lineage: Bacteria; Bacillati; Bacillota; Bacilli; Caryophanales; Staphylococcaceae.
CGGGUGAGUAACACGUGGAUAACCUACCUAUAAGACUGGGAUAACUACGGGAAACCGGAGCUAAUACCGGAUAAUAUAUUGAACCGCAUGGUUCAACAGUGAAAGACGGUUUUGCUGUCACUUAUAGAUGGAUCCGCGCCGCAUUAGCUAGUUGGUAAGGUAACGGCUUACCAAGGCAACGAUGCGUAGCCGACCUGAGAGGGUGAUCGGCCACACUGGAGCUGAGACACGGUCCAG